This 2149-nucleotide long non-coding RNA is filed under the name Pelobates cultripes (western spadefoot toad). Lineage: Eukaryota; Metazoa; Chordata; Amphibia; Anura; Pelobatidae. The record is from RNAcentral.
AUUGUUUUCCGGCACUGGAGUUUCCCUUUAAUGUGUGUAAAUGUCCGUCAGUUAUUCACUAUCUGGACGAUUUACUCACGAUUGAGAACAACACACUCCCCCCCAAGUAGUUUGAAACACAUGUUGGCUCUGUUUGAAUCCCUCACCAUCCCAGUCUCCCCUCACAAGACUCUGGAUCCAGACACCAGCAUGCAAUUUUUGGGGAUCCAACUAGACACGAUACAGAUGCAGGCUAGCCUCCCUCAGGAAAAGAUUGAGCGUACCCUGGCAAGCAUUGAACACUACCUUCUACAAGGUUAUUGCAACCAAAAGGAACUGCAAUCACUGCUGGCGUCGCUCAAUUUUUCCAUUAGGAUUAUACCACAGGGUAGAUCCUUUAUUUCGCUCCUGCUAUCUCUAUUUCCACAAUUCACCUGAGACAAUUCCAAUUCACGCAUCACUUUAGAUGGUCACGCAACCUCUGAUUUACACAUGGGGGGGGAGAGGGGUUCUCACCUCUUGGAACGGGCGAGCCAUGUUUAUACCAUCCCCCCUCCGACACUUCGCCUACACUGUGGACAGAUGCUGCAUCAAAAACUGGCUUUGCGGCCAUCUGGGGAGAUCAAUGGCUUUGUGGACCAUGGCCGACCGAAGUUGAAUCACUGCUCAACUUUGCUGCUACCUCAGAUUUAUUUGAGUUGUACCCAAUCGUGGCGGCGGCCAUUGUCUGGGGACUACAUUGGUCUGGUCACAUGGUUAGUUGUUACUUUGAUCUGGCCACAUGCCAUAUUGUCAAUAAAGGCCAUUCUGCAUCCCUGGUAAUCAUGAGACUCACAGGGUAGCAGCCACCUGUCAAUUCUUUAUCACAUAUAUCCACGUUCCGGGGUACACAAACACCUCUGCUGAUCACUUGUUUCAUUUUCAGGCUUUCUUGACACUACCCACUGCUUCCAGACUGCGACACCUGCCCCACUAUUUCAAGACAUGAUAAUGGAUUGAAGGCUUUGUUAAAUCACGCACGUCACAUUUCACAUAUGAUAGGGCCUUUCACGUAUUCACAAAAUUUAUAACAGAAUUGUACAUCCACAACAUUUUUCCUUUAGAAUCGAUAUUGGGUUUCACUUAAUUUUGCCACAUCAACCUUAAAUUAUCCUUCAAUACUAUAAAGCUAUACCUUACAGGCAUCCAGCACCACAUGCUUAUUUGACAACCCCACGCUACAGGUUUCCUGACUUCAUACCAAAUUAAAACAGUACUUAAAGGCAUUAAAAAUUAGACACACACGUUCCCUCACAAAGAUUACCCAUAGACAACAACAUUUUCCAAUCACUAACCAAUUUAUUAGAUUAUUCUCCUUUUGAACCCAUAACUAAUACCGUUAUAAAGACAGCCCUAUAUUUAGCUUUUUAUGGGUUUCUCCGUCCCACUGAAUUUACGACUAGGACCAUUACAGCCCUGGACUACCUGAGAACGAGUGACUUAAACAGACAUAGCGACCAUUACAUGCUAUUCUUAAGACGAUCCUAAACCACCUCCCUAGGACAUACUAUUAAAAUCCCCUUGUAUCCUACUCCUAACAAGUGGUACCCAGUACAAGUUUUGGACACCUUUUUUCUUUCAGCCCAGAAACAACCACAACAACCUUUGCUUCAACUGCAUGGAUACACUCUGACCACAGCAAAAUUCAUGCUUUACGUUCGACUACUGUUGACUAGGCUCGGCCUAAACCCCAAUAACUUUUCAGGUCACUCUUUCCGUAUAGGAGCAGCAUCUUCAGCAUCCGCUAAUCACAUACCCGCUCAUAUUAUCAAGGCUAUGGGAUGCUGGAAAUCCUCUGCCUACAUACCUAAUCCAGUUAAAGAAUUAAGACAAGCUUUUUGUGACUUAUCCAAAUAAAUGAAGUUGGUUACACAAAUCAAGGUUUAUGGUAUUUUCUUUUUGCCCACUUUUUAUUACAGGACUACUGCUGUGUCGGUUCCGGGACACAACACAACCGACUGGUGCAAACUCAUUGAAGUUAUGGUUAUAAUAUGCUAGAUUUCUAUGUACUGCUAUAUUGCCGCGACUACAAAUUUGAAGGCUUGGCCUGUAGUUGUGGGAGGGGCUUGGAUCCCCUUUAAAAAGGCUGACAAUCCUCUCUCACCUUACCGUUGCUGGUCUGGCGAGCCAC